AAGAAGAAAGGAAAGAAAAGAAAAAGAAAAUGUAUAUAUAAAGAUAGAUAAAUAAAUAAACAAUAAGAGAUUUGUUUAUAUGUGUUGUCGUUACCUCGUUUUUAUUUUUUAUAUGCCUCCUUGUUUUCAUUUCCAGCAAUCGAAUAGGUAUUCAUGAAUUGAGGUAUUUAGGACUGAUA
This 179-nucleotide non-coding RNA is filed under the name Polytomella parva. The record is from RNAcentral. Lineage: Eukaryota; Viridiplantae; Chlorophyta; Chlorophyceae; Chlamydomonadales; Chlamydomonadaceae.